AGAGUUUGAUCCUGGCUCAGAUUGAACGCUGGCGGCAGGCUUAACACAUGCAAGUCGAGCGGUAACAUUUCUAGCUUGCUAGAAGAUGACGAGCGGCGGACGGGUGAGUAAUACUUAGGAAUCUACCUAGUAGUGGGGGAUAGCUCGGGGAAACUCGAAUUAAUACCGCAUACGACCUACGGGAGAAAGGGGCAGUUUACUGCUCUCGCUAUUAGAUGAGCCUAAGUCGGAUUAGCUAGAUGGUGGGGUAAAGGCCUACCAUGGCGACGAUCUGUAGCUGGUCUGAGAGGAUGAUCAGCCACACCGGGACUGAGACACGGCCCGGACUCCUACGGGAGGCAGCAGUGGGGAAUAUUGGACAAUGGGGGAAACCCUGAUCCAGCCAUGCCGCGUGUAUGAAGAAGGCCUUUUGGUUGUAAAGCACUUUGAGCAGUGAAGAAGACUCCGUGGUUAAUACCCACGGACGAUGACAUUAGCUGCAGAAUAAGCACCGGCUAACUCUGUGCCAGCAGCCGCGGUAAUACAGAGGGUGCAAGCGUUAAUCGGAAUUACUGGGCGUAAAGGGAGCGUAGGUGGCUCGAUAAGUCAGAUGUGAAAUCCCCGGGCUCAACCUGGGAACUGCAUCUGAAACUGUUGAGCUAGAGUAUGUGAGAGGAAGGUAGAAUUCCAGGUGUAGCGGUGAAAUGCGUAGAGAUCUGGAGGAAUACCGAUGGCGAAGGCAGCCUUCUGGCAUAAUACUGACACUGAGGCUCGAAAGCGUGGGUAGCAAACAGGAUUAGAUACCCUGGUAGUCCACGCCGUAAACGAUGUCUACUAGUCGUUGGGUCCCUUGAGGACUUAGUGACGCAGCUAACGCAAUAAGUAGACCGCCUGGGGAGUACGGCCGCAAGGUUAAAACUCAAAUGAAUUGACGGGGGCCCGCACAAGCGGUGGAGCAUGUGGUUUAAUUCGAUGCAACGCGAAGAACCUUACCUGGUCUUGACAUAUCUAGAAUCCUGCAGAGAUGCGGGAGUGCCUUCGGGAAUUAGAAUACAGGUGCUGCAUGGCUGUCGUCAGCUCGUGUCGUGAGAUGUUGGGUUAAGUCCCGCAACGAGCGCAACCCUUGUCCUUAGUUACCAGCGGGUUAAGCCGGGAACUCUAAGGAUACUGCCAGUGACAAACUGGAGGAGGGCGGGGACGACGUCAAGUCAUCAUGGCCCUUACGACCAGGGCUACACACGUGCUACAAUGGUAGGUACAGAGGGCAGCUACACAGCGAUGUGAUGCGAAUCUCAAAAAGCCUAUCGUAGUCCAGAUUGGAGUCUGCAACUCGACUCCAUGAGGUAGGAAUCGCUAGUAAUCGCGGAUCAGAAUGCCGCGGUGAAUACGUUCCCGGGCCUUGUACACAC
This 1388-nucleotide ribosomal RNA is filed under the name Psychrobacter sp. SON-1308. Its description in RNAcentral is "bacterial SSU rRNA". It matches the Rfam family "Bacterial small subunit ribosomal RNA". The record is from RNAcentral. Lineage: Bacteria; Pseudomonadati; Pseudomonadota; Gammaproteobacteria; Moraxellales; Moraxellaceae.